Molecule: long non-coding RNA, 2572 nt
Organism: Zonotrichia leucophrys gambelii
Lineage: Eukaryota; Metazoa; Chordata; Aves; Passeriformes; Passerellidae
Exons: 3
Source: RefSeq, a predicted model, not a curated record
AGGGGCCCCUGUGAAGCCAGAGAAGAGCUAUGUGGCAGAGAACCAGCAAGAAGAACUGAUAACAUCUUGCAGAGGAAUGGCUGUUUCUCCUAAUGAGCCAAAAGGAUGGCCAGUCACUGCUGGAAAAUACCUGAAAACACCAUAUAGGAGUUUAUGAACAACCUGUUGAUGUUCGCCUUGAUCAGGGAGCAGAGUUCAGAGAAGAUUGUCCAGAUGGUGAUACACGUGAAGUGGAAAGCAUCAGAUAAUGAAGAAACUUGAGCAAAUUGCUUCCCUCUUCAGCUCACAUGCUGAUGUCAGCCCCAGACAACAAAAUAAGCAAAUUCUGAUGAAGAAAGCAAAAGUGUUGAUCCUAAUUAGAACCGACAAAGGCAUUUUUCAUCCUGCAUCCCCUGUUUAAAGGUUGACUCUUGGCAGGCGUGUGAUUGCUCGGCACUCUUGACCAGGGCGUCCAUCACACAGGGAAUGUGCAGCAAGGCCAGAACCAGGAUUCAUGCCUGGAACUGAAAUGCCUGCCAGAAGCAGAUAGGCCAUUCUCUUCAAAUGAUGACAGAAUAAUUGCCUCCCAGUGGAUGGCUAGAAUCUGCUGGCAGACCUUUCAGGGAUUCUGCAGAUAUUGCUUAGCUGCCUGAUUAUUGCUGAAUUUAAGGAGACCAUAACAGGUUACUCAGGAAUGUUCAAGAUGACAUUAAAGCCAGAAAUAAAUUUUGGAACUUAGACCAAAGACUAAAAUUUAAUGCAGGGACCAGCAUUUUUUAUUUUAUUUGUUCUUGUAGUGUCUAACAAUAGUAACCUCUGGCCUUACAGCAUUGGCUUUAAAGUGGUAGAAGAGACAAAUGCAAAAGAAAUUCAAUAUGAGAGAACAUUAAUAAAAAAAUAUAGUUGAACUACUGCCCAGUGUUACUGGGAUGACUCCAAACGUAAAUGUUCUUUCUCACACUUUGUUUAAGGUCACAGAUAUUCUAGAGGUUAGCUUAGAUUAAAUAUUUUUUGUCAUUUUGGCUGCAUUGAAGCUCACCGUGCUGACAGAUUUUAUGUGUGGAGUGGUUUCACAAGGGAAACGGGUGAGGCAGUCCUGUUGUGCGGAUGAGUGCUAUAAAAAGCUGCUCUUGAGAGUGUAAAUGUGGUACUGGAUCUUGUCUUCACAGUUUGGCAUCAAAUGGAAGAUAAUACAUCCUGAUACCCAGGGUUAAUAUCUUCACAGUUUUUAGGACAGUUUAUAAGUGGAAAAGAAGGCCAGACACGGAAUCAAAAGAUAAGUUAUAAAAUCCUUGGGGUUGGAAGGGACCUUUAAAGGUCGUCUAGUCCAACCCUCAAAUAAAUGAAAAGCCAGAUUUAUUCUCUUUUUCACAUCAGAGUCUGGUACUAUAAACAGAGCAUGGUUUUGGAUCUGGCUGGGGAAGAGGGCAAUUUUACUCUUGCCUGAUUGCUGUUUAUGGGGCUGGUCCCUCUCCACCACUCUGGUGUCUCAUAUGCCUCUGCUCUUAACCACAGCCACAUAUUUGUGAUUUCCCUUUCUGUGAGUUUCAGGGAAUUGACAUUUUUCUGAUGUUCUUGGAAUGUAACAAUAUAAAAAGGGAAUAGAUGUUCAACCCUCUGAGGAUAGUUUGAGAUUCAACCCCUUGAAAAUUUAUGUCCUGACUCUGAUGCAGUAGGAAAUUACUUUGUGUUCUGAGGGAGAGGCAAAGGAGGGCUCUGGGUAUUUACUGUAGCAUUCUUUGGUGUGUGUGUCUGUGACAAAAACAUCUGAAAUCUAAGCAAGGUCAGAUACUUCAUUUGUGCAGGAAGCAGACCAACCCAAUGGGCAAUUCUAGACAUGAAUUGACAGAACUUUCAAUGUUCUCAUAUUCAUUUGUGUUUCUAAACUGACUGGAAAGAAGACCAUCUUCAUUUUUGGAAGGUCAUAGAUUCUAAAGGUUAAACUAAUAUGAUGAGGUAAUUGAUAUUUUUGAGACAAUUUUUAAAUUCAUUGGCAAUGACUUCAAGGAGGAAAAAAUUCUUAAAGUGAUGAAAUUGUCCAUUGGGAAAAGUGAUAAGUUGAAUACAUGCAAAUAAGACACAAAGUUUCAAGCUAAAGUUUCCCUCUAUUUUUUUUUUCUCUGUAUAUACAUAUGUAUAAAGCAAUGUGAGCAAAUGUAAUCUCAGGGUGCUACAGCAUUACCUGAUGUAAAUUGGCUGAGCUUCACUGAUUUUGGUAGGACUAUAUGUAUGUAUUAUAAAAGGGGACAUUAGCUGGUGGUUUAUAUUUAUAUGAAGUCUGUCAUCAGUCCAUCCUACACUCCGGCAGCACUUAACUAAAUUGCUGGGUAAUAUGAAUUUCAGUCAAGUAUAGAAAUGUUUUCAAAAGUUAAGUCAGCACCUAGGAAAAAAAAAAAAACUAAAAAAACCACAAAAAACCCAAAAAACAAAUGUCGGAAAUAAUGUCAAAUAUUUUUCUAACCAGAACUUUACACAGUGAGGAAAAUUGCAAUAGUAUCUAAUAUUUUGAAAUUAUCAAUUGUACACAGUUUCAGUUCAAGCUUUGUUCUGAACUACCCAGUGCAGAAAGAAGUGAAUGUGUUUUAUGACCACC